AUUGAACGCUAGCGGCAGGCUUAACACAUGCAAGUCGAGCGGAGUGAUGGUGCUUGCACUAUCACUUAGCGGCGGACGGGUGAGUAAUGCUUAGGAAUCUGCCUAUUAGUGGGGGACAACAUCUCGAAAGGGAUGCUAAUACCGCAUACGUCCUACGGGAGAAAGCAGGGGAUCACUUGUGACCUUGCGCUAAUAGAUGAGCCUAAGUCGGAUUAGCUAGUUGGUGGGGUAAAGGCCUACCAAGGCGACGAUCUGUAGCGGGUCUGAGAGGAUGAUCCGCCACACUGGGACUGAGACACGGCCCAGACUCCUACGGGAUGCAGCAGUGGGGAAUAUUGGACAAUGGGGGGAACCCUGAUCCAGCCAUGCCGCGUGUGUGAAGAAGGCCUUAUGGUUGUAAAGCACUUUAAGCGAGGAGGAGGCUCUUUUGGUUAAUACCCAAGAUGAGUGGACGUUACUCGCAGAAUAAGCACCGGCUAACUCUGUGCCAGCCGCCGCGGUAA
RNAcentral lists this ribosomal RNA (503 nucleotides) under uncultured bacterium. RNAcentral describes it as "partial 16S ribosomal RNA". It matches the Rfam family "Bacterial small subunit ribosomal RNA", at positions 30 to 523 of the family's 1533-position model. The record is from RNAcentral.